Molecule: unclassified non-coding RNA, 240 nt
Filed under: soil metagenome
Description: partial contains 5.8S ribosomal RNA, internal transcribed spacer 2, and large subunit ribosomal RNA
Source: RNAcentral
AACCUUAUGGACCUGCGGGCGUAUACCUGCGGAGGGAUCAUUACACAAUAAACAUAUGAAGGCUGCACCGCCAACAGGCGGCAAGGCUGGAGUAUUUUAUUACCCUUGUCUUUUGCGCACUUGUUGUUUCCUGGGCGGGUUCGCCCGCCUCCAGGACCACAUGAUAAACCUUUUUUAUGCAGUUGCAAUCAGCGUCAGUACAACAAAUGUAAAUCAUUUACAACUUUUAGCAAUGGAUCU